GGGGCUAUAGCUCAGCUGGGAGAGCGCCUGCUUUGCACGCAGGAGGUCUGCGGUUGAAUCCCGCAUAGCUCCACCA
Molecule: transfer RNA, 76 nt
Filed under: Escherichia coli
Lineage: Bacteria; Pseudomonadati; Pseudomonadota; Gammaproteobacteria; Enterobacterales; Enterobacteriaceae
Also listed under: 1 other name
Description: tRNA-Ala
Rfam family: tRNA
About the family: Transfer RNA (tRNA) molecules are approximately 80 nucleotides in length.
Source: RNAcentral